GCUUAACGCUUUUGGCGUGCCUAACUCUUUCAAGUCGAGCGAACAGACUACUAGCUUCCUCCUCUCACCUUAGCUGCCGCCCCGCGUGUUACACUUUGAUAACCUACCUCUAAGCCUGGGCCUACUUCCCCAACCCGUUGCUAAUCCCGGAUAAUCUGUUUACCCGCAUGCUUCAAUUUUAAAAUACGCUUUUCCUGUCACUUAUACAUGGAUCCUCGCCGCAUUACCUAGUUUGUCAGGUAACGGUUUACCAAGGCGACGAUGCGUAGCCGACCUGAGAGGGUGAUCGGCCACACGGGAACUGAGACACGGUCCAGACUCCUACGGGAGGCAGCAGUAGGGAAUCUUCCGCAAUGGGCGAAAGCCUGACGGAGCAACGCCGCGUGAGUGAUGAAGGUAAUAGGAUAGUAAAACACUGUUAUUAGGGAAGAACAAAUGUGUAAGUAACUAUGCACGUCUUGACGGUACCUAAUCAGAAAGCCACGGCUAACUACGUG
Molecule: ribosomal RNA, 497 nt
Filed under: uncultured bacterium
Lineage: Bacteria
Description: partial 16S ribosomal RNA
Rfam family: Bacterial small subunit ribosomal RNA
Source: RNAcentral